GAUGAGGAAGCUGCCUCUUCUGCAUGGUUUAUUUUUUCUUUUCCCUUUAUUUAAUGCUCUUUUUUGUGAAAGACGUUUCACCACACAAUAUGCUCCGGCUGCUCAUUUGAAGGGAGCGUGUAGAAUCCAGGUCCUGACCCACAGGGUGAUGAAAGGGACAUCUGCCCGCAGGGAAUCAGGCCUGGAUCACAUCGAGCUGGAUCAGCCUAUGCUUGACUUCCUGACCCUAAGAAGAACGCGGACACUGGGUCUACAGGUGGGGCCUCUGGAGUCCAGUGGGAAAAGCCAUCAACCAAGAACUAGAAAUUCUGUGUCAUGGUUGUGCCGUGCCUUCAGUAUGCAGUGUAGAACCAGGGGUCGUGUGUGCACAGUUCCUUCGGACACCCGAGCUACUCGGCUUCUUUCUCUCUGGCUUGGAACGGGCACCCCCGUGGAGCAGACCCAGGCUGGGGUGUCCUACAUUGUAAAUAAAACUGCUGCCCAGAAUAGUCCAGAACAUUCACAACCCGGGAAGCAGGGCAACAGGACUGACUGUGGCACCUUCCCCCCUGCCGCGCCCACCUCCCCCCACUCACAUGGGACUGGAUCCACCCUGAGGAGCCACGGUCAACAUCCUGCUUCCGGCAGGCCCUCCUGGAGGCCGCACAGAGGGGUGUUUGUUCGCAGUGGGCCGCGGGAGAGAUGCUAAUCAUGUUGGAUCUCUGGUCUGGGCUGAAGGUCAGGAGGUAAGGCGACCCACGGCUAUAAAUAACUGUGCCAGGCUGCUGAGGGCAGCUCGCUGGAUCCGCGCCCCUCUCCGGCCGGCCGGCGGGCCCGGAUUGAUUUCUGGCAUCCCGGCCACCGCGGGAACUUGAACCCCAGAGAGCUAAAGCGCUGUGACCUUUGGGGGUGGUGCGCAAGGUCAGGCCAGGCCUCCUGGGCUUUCCUGCCUACUGAAUUCAAGCAUUUGCACCUUUGUCACUCCGCAGAGGCCAGAAAGUGGAGGUUGUGCAUGCCACCCCCAAACGCAGGUACCGGUACCUCUGUACCCCACCCCACCAAGCUCUAGUCCUCAGCCUGUUCCAGAUGAGAGAGGCCCAAAGUGUCCCAGCCAGGGAGGGACAGCCCAGGCUCCAGAGCCCAGCCCUGCCUCCAGAGGCCCGAUCUGGAAGGAGUUGACCCCAGAGAGCUAUGUGUUCUCAGCUAGAUGGAAACAGUCCUCCCCUUCACUUUGGAAGGCUAAGUGGAGAGACUCUAGUGGCAACAGUCUGGCAGCUGGUCGUGCAUCAGGGAGGCAGGCAGGCACCACUUUCUGUCUCCUGUACAGAAAGGGGUGGGGGAUUUAACCGGGAGGGGGGAGGUAUGCCUCUUAUUUUUCAAAACAAACCUUUUUUUUGGGGGGGGGGGUCCCGGGGAAGUGAGGUACACAGGAUGACCAUUCCACAAAAGUGGACAUAGCCCAAGCUGCACAUGUGGCCAGUUCCCAGACGGAGAAACAGCACCAGGCAGUCCUCGCCUAGCUUGUGAAGCCCUGGGUUCCGGAACCGUCUGGGCGCUACUGAUAGAUAGGGCUUGCCCGUAAUCCUAGCGCUCAGGAAGCAGAGGCAGGAGGAUCAGAGUUCAAGGUCAUCCACGUCUACAAAGCAAAUUUGAGGUUACCUGGACUACGUGAAACCCUGCUUCAAAAAAACAAAAACAAACAAAAAAAA
RNAcentral lists this long non-coding RNA (1688 nucleotides) under Meriones unguiculatus (Mongolian gerbil). RNAcentral describes it as "lncRNA (ENSMUGG00000004790.1)". The record is from RNAcentral. Lineage: Eukaryota; Metazoa; Chordata; Mammalia; Rodentia; Muridae.